Molecule: long non-coding RNA, 2166 nt
Filed under: Drosophila guanche
Lineage: Eukaryota; Metazoa; Arthropoda; Insecta; Diptera; Drosophilidae
Source: RNAcentral
AGCAGACCUUGAACAGAGACUCACCAGACUGACAGACUUAUCUUUCUCUAACUUCACAGUUCAGCCAGAAAUACAAUAUACAAAGAACAGAGAACAUACUCCAAAAAUGGAACGAGAGCCACUGAAAGACAUCACCAACGUGCAGACGGAAAAGAAAAGGACCCAACAGAACACCCAAAAUGGGCAACCAGCCCGCAAACGCUUCGAGAUCUUUAGAGGAUCUAACUGAGGUGCGGACCAGAGAGUGAGUUCCAAACAGAAAGUGGCUUCACUAUGAUGACUCAAACUUCCCAAAUUUCUUCAACAGUUUGGCCUAUGCGAUAGCGGAGGCGGGUGGAUAGCGAAGGGUAACUUGGAGUCCUCGGUCAACUCCUGUGACCCGCUUUGUUAUUUGUUGAGACCAUGGCUCGUUCUAUUAAUAACUUAAAAUGUUUAUAAAUAUUUUGGAAAUCUACAGACCUCCCACACAACAAAGAAACACAAAAGACACUACCGUAAAACAGGAAGAAAAGACUUGGUUUGCGAUUCUCAAAUUUUGUUGAACCUUCGGCAAGUUUAAGGCUCUGUUGCGCCAAUAAGAGACGUUGGACUUAUAAAAGAAAAGGACAAAACUGAUAAGAAAAUCUACUUAUUUGGGGUCGCUUCAUACCGAAUGCUGGGGGUAGAUGGGUAACGUCUAUCUAAGUCGUCCUUCAGCCCCCUCCUGUAGCUCUAAUUUGGCGAUCGGCAUGCAGCCAGUCACUUGUUUUGGUGCUUUUUAUGCACAGAAAUGACCAGAGACACGAAGUCAAAAACGUUUCUUGAUUCUCUGCCGCUGCGGCAGCCGAGCAAUUGUGCAUGGGCCAUAUACGAAUCUGUUUCUCUGUCGCUGCGGCGGGUCUCCGUGCUUGGGCAGAAGUCACACGAAGGUUUUACAGAGAUCGCUGCCAGCCUCUUCUCUGAGUUCGUGUUUUUCAGGUGGUCAAACGAAGGAAACAUCAAUGUCCUGCGAAAACAUCAAAGCCAUGACUUAUCACUCAACAUACGAAUAUUUAAAGUACACGGAACUUGUAAUAUACAACAAAACGAGAAAGGACGUGUGAGACGCUUCUUACACGACACAACUUUUAUACCCGGUACUCAGAAGAACACCUGUACCUUAACGGUUUUUUUUUCUUAUUUUAAAUUUUACAUUUUUUCUUUAUCUUUCAUCAACAUCUACAUCUACAUCACUUCUCACGCCAACACGCUCCUUUAGCUCGCCCCCUCCUCAAGAUCCACACACUGCAGAGGUAGGCAUGGGGCAUGGGGUGUACCACAAGCAAGGUAAAGAUGAAUUUUUACUCUCCUGGAAAGGCUCGAGGCUCAAGGGGAGCGCUUGCCGUUGUUGGUGCUGUCGUUGUUUGUUCUUCUUCUGCUGUUGGCAACAAUACCAGUGUCCACAUACGAACAUACAUAUAUUUAUUAUUUAUUUCACUGACCUAGUUUCCGUCUGGUCCAUGCCUCCCUGACCCGAAUCAGGGGUCGGUCCAGUCAGGGUUUGAGACCCCUCAUAGCAGACCUUGAACAGAGACUCACCAGACUGACUGACUUAUCUUUCUCUAACUUCACAGUUCAGCCAGAAAUACAAUAUACAAAGAACAGAGAACAUACUCCAAAAAUGGAACGAGAGCCACUGAAGGACAUAACCAACGUGCAGACAGAAAAGAAAAGGACCCAACAGAACACCCAAAAUGGGCAACCAGCCCGCAAACGCUUCGAGAUCUUUAGAGGAUCUAACUGAGGUGCGGACCAGAGAGUGAGUUCCAAACAGAAAGUGGCCUCACUAUAACGACUCAAACUUCCCCAAUUUCUUCAACAGUUUGGCCUAUGCGAUAGCGGAGGCGGAUGGAUAGCGGAGGGUAACUUGGAGUCCUCGGUCAACUCCUGUGACCUGCUUUGUUAUUUGAUGAGACCAUGGCUCGUUGUAUUAAUAACUUAAGACGUUUAUAAAUAUUUUGGAAAUCUACAGACCUCCCACACAACAAAGAAACACAAAAGCCACUACCGUAAAACAGGAAGAAAAGGAUUGAAAGCAGUCGAUCCGAUUUGCAGACUUGGUUUGCGAUUCUCAAAUUUUUUUGAACCUUCGGCACGUUUAAGGCUCUGUUGAGCCGAUAAGAGACGAUGGACUUAUAAAAGAAAAAG